CCAUCGAGAGCAAACACAAGGAGUCACGCCGAAAAAAUCUAGCGAUUUUGCUCGGAAAGAGGUGAGGGUGGAUCCCGUGGAGGCGGAGGAGCCGCUGGGCAAGGAGACGUCCGCCGAGGCUGAUCCCGCGGGGCACUUCAUCUAGGUGCGUAUAUUGUGGUCUAACUUCUUCAUAUAGGUGGUCCUCGACACCUAGCCCAAAGGCACGCGCGACUUGCUCAUCUCCGGCAAGCUGCAAGUCAUCAAGCUUGCCUACAACCUCCGUGACAUCUGCAACACCGACAAGUCCGACAAGCAGGCUUUUACGGCGCCUCGCGCUCUAGCUGCGUGACGACCAGCCCCCAAGGCUCACUUGCAACCUCGUCGUCGUCCAAAAUUUGAGCGUUGUCGCCGGUAACCAAUGUUGUACGCAUAAAGUCUGAAGAAAACCAACCGUUGUGCUCCUUUAACUGGGAUCGUUGGAAGUUGGUGCGGGUGAGCGAUGAAAGCAGAUCGGUGGUGUGGCAGAGAAUCGGUAUCUUAUUGUCUUGAUUGAUUCGGUGGUGUGGCGAGCGAAUCCAGCGGCAAAUAAAUCAAGACAUAACUAUGAUCACGUAGACUAAUCCUAGAGUCGCAUAUAAUUGGUGGUACUAAUAACAAGACGUUCAUUGGUCUCCGAAAAAUAAAGAAGCAGCGAAACAUAUGUGAGUAUUCUUUGCAUCUUUUGAGUACUACAACCUAGCUGGCACACAAUGGAACGCUAGAAACCAUUGUGGGCGGCGGAAAGCCAAGCAUGCUGGAGACUGAUGACUGAAAAGAUUUACGGGCGCUAGCAAUCCUGAUUCCCCUCAUUGGGAGCUGACCGCCACCGACGCCAACAUAUCCCUUCAGUAGAUCAGUGGAAAAGCCUGGGAAGUUCAGAGAGAAAUCAAGGUACAUGUGUGGCUGUGUGUUGCCUACGUACAAUCCUAUAAUUUAGUUUACGCUAAUUGUGCAUAUUGAUAAAUUUCUACAACAAGAUGCAAAAUAAUUGUUGUGUGAACAUGCGCUAGAUAUUUUUGUAAUAAUUUUGUACUACUAAUAAUUUAUCAAAUACUUUUAAGCACUGCAUGAACAUUAACGUUGCUGCUAUUUGUUUGGCCUGCAAGGACUGAAGUCUGUUGUUGUAGUUAGGCUUGGUGAGAAGGGAGGCGUACAUGGCUGAGGCAAUGACGUUGUCGCAUUCGUCUCACCGUAUAUUACCUUCCUCGAGUAGUAGGGAAGCACUAUAAAUACUAUUACCAAUUAUUAAUUUUGGAUAUUUCAGACAUAAUAUUCAGUUUAGAGAGGCGAACGAGGUUGGCGACGAUGCAGUAUCCAAGGAUAUGAUGGCAACCGAGCCGAGGGUUUGUUAUCUGUAUGGGCCUCAGUAUGAACGGCCCAACCGAGCCGAGGGAAAAGAGUCUCAGCCGGGACUCUUCUUCACCUCCUCAUCCUCUGGGCUCGGAGGAAUCCUCCUCCGCAUAUGAUGGCAACUCCUCCGCCCCUCCUUCCAAAAUGGAAUGAUUCAUGUCGUCCCGUGGUCACUUAGUGCAUGGAUGUCCUUUCUGUGCUGGUGGGUGUUCCCAUCGUGAUAAAGACUCUUCAUCAUUAAGCUGUAGACACACUCUGGCGCAGUGUAAGCUCUACCGCCUCCCGUGGCUGAGGAGAGCAAGGACAGAACAAGCAACAGGAGAUCGAGGGAGGAGAUACUUAGUUGAUUUUGCCUCUGGAGAAUGAUUGGAAGAAGAAAAGGUAGGGAAUUUUGUUGGUAGAACUCCGAUGAAGAAACAAGAAGCAUGAAGAUUUUUCUAGCACCUUUCAUGAGAGCGGUUUGGGAAAAUAGAGAAGGAGAGAGAAGAUGCAGUUUUCAUGUGCACGGAAAGCCUGGGGAAUUUUAAGUACUACUAUAAACUGAACAUGAUGUCAUGCAUUCUCUAAUAAACUGAACAUGAAAACCGAAAACAAGUAUAGCGGAAUGUAUUUUUUUAAUAGUAUAAAGCAGAAUGCAAUUAACUCUGUAUAUAUAUGCACUGGGCACUGCACCAUGUUAAGAAUUUUUCUGAUG
Molecule: long non-coding RNA, 2065 nt
Organism: Triticum aestivum (bread wheat)
Lineage: Eukaryota; Viridiplantae; Streptophyta; Magnoliopsida; Poales; Poaceae
Exons: 3
Source: RefSeq, a predicted model, not a curated record